Molecule: unclassified non-coding RNA, 117 nt
Organism: Papio anubis (olive baboon)
Lineage: Eukaryota; Metazoa; Chordata; Mammalia; Primates; Cercopithecidae
Rfam family: Metazoan signal recognition particle RNA
About the family: The signal recognition particle (SRP) is a universally conserved ribonucleoprotein. It is involved in the co-translational targeting of proteins to membranes. The eukaryotic SRP consists of a 300-nucleotide 7S RNA and six proteins: SRPs 72, 68, 54, 19, 14, and 9.
Source: Ensembl
ACCGGGCAUGGUGGCUCAUGCCUGUAAUCCCAGCACUUUGGGAGGUCGAGGUGGGUGGAUCACCUGAGGUCAGGAGUUUGAGACCAGCCUGGCCAACAUGGUGAAACCCCGCCUCUA